RNAcentral lists this ribosomal RNA (121 nucleotides) under Pteropus alecto (black flying fox). The record is from RNAcentral. Lineage: Eukaryota; Metazoa; Chordata; Mammalia; Chiroptera; Pteropodidae.
GUCUACGGCCAUGCUACCCUGAACAAGCCCGAUGUCUGAUCUCGGAAGCUAAGCAGAGUCGGGUUGGGCCUGGUUAGUACUUGGAUGGGAGACCACCUAGGAAGACCAGGUGGUGUAGGCA